UACGAAGGGUGCUAGCGUUGUUCGGAAUUACUGGGCGUAAAGCGCACGUAGGCGGAUUUGUAAGUCAGGGGUGAAAUCCCGGGGCUCAACCUCGGAACUGCCUUUGAUACUGCAAGUCUCGAGUCCGGAAGAGGUGAGUGGAAUUCCUAGUGUAGAGGUGAAAUUCGUAGAUAUUAGGAAGAACACCAGUGGCGAAGGCGGCUCACUGGUCCUGUACUGACGCUGAGGUGCGAAAGCGUGGGGAGCAAACAGG
RNAcentral lists this ribosomal RNA (253 nucleotides) under uncultured bacterium. Its description in RNAcentral is "partial 16S ribosomal RNA". It matches the Rfam family "Bacterial small subunit ribosomal RNA", at positions 524 to 776 of the family's 1533-position model. The record is from RNAcentral.